RNAcentral lists this small nucleolar RNA (55 nucleotides) under Dipodomys ordii (Ord's kangaroo rat). RNAcentral describes it as "Small nucleolar RNA SNORD109A". It matches the Rfam family "Small nucleolar RNA SNORD109A", at positions 9 to 62 of the family's 67-position model. From Rfam's summary of the family: Humans have two copies of the SNORD109 gene, SNORD109A and SNORD109B. Lineage: Eukaryota; Metazoa; Chordata; Mammalia; Rodentia; Heteromyidae. The record is from Rfam by way of RNAcentral.
GAUGAGCACAAGGGUCUGAGGACACUGAAGGACUGGAGUGCAGAAGUCAAUCUGA